This 6288-nucleotide long non-coding RNA is filed under the name Sus scrofa (pig). RNAcentral describes it as "lncRNA (ENSSSCG00000047334.1)". Lineage: Eukaryota; Metazoa; Chordata; Mammalia; Artiodactyla; Suidae. The record is from RNAcentral.
AUUCACUCUGCCCGCAGCAGUGACCUCUGGGCAGGGUGCACAACAGGCCCCGCGGGAGGGUGGGGGGCCGCCUUCCUGGGGAGGGGGCACAGCCAGGCUGCGAGGCCCUCUGUCUGGAAGACCUGCCCUGGGCGACGGAGAGCAGGGCUGCCAGCCAUGCCUUGGGCCCAGGCCCCUGCUUCGCCUUUAGCCCCCAGGCCACAGGUGAGGCCUCUCCCCUAGAGAAGGCCCGGGGCCUGGCCAGGUGUUUCUGGAAACAGACUUCAGCGGGGCCCCAUUUGGUCACUUCUCUGGGCUGUGUGCAGCCUCGGGCAAGGGGACAGAGAACGAACGAACCCGCCCCUAGGAGGGCCUGGGACAUCUCUGGGCCUCCCUUCUUUGAGGCUGGGGAAAGCGAGGCCUCGAGGUCCGGAGCCCCUUGCCGAGCGAGCAUCCGCGCGAACCGGGGGCCCUUCCUCGCGGGCUGAAGAGGACCGGACCGUCCUCCAAGCCGGUCUCACUCCCCCAGGGAAGCCUAACGUCCACGCAACUGGGCACGCGCGCACAGCUUCGGGGUCUGCAUCCUACAGGAGCUGUGCGCUUGGGCCCUGGCUGGGGACGGGGACACACGCACACAGCCCCUUCGAAGCGGAAUGCCGAAUCCUGCACAGCUCGCUGGAUCUUGCCAGUCACCGGCCCAUCCCUCCUUUGGGGGUUCUGAGGUCCGCAGAGCUCCCCUGUGACUUUCCACAGAAAUCUUCACUGACACAAAAAUAGACUGCUCAGACAUUUAGAUGCAGAGAUCUCACGCUCCUUCUAAAUUGAGGCGAUCGUCCUAAUAUAGCGUGAGCUGCCUGGUGGUGAAGAGGAUGGGAGGGAGGAAGUGGGGCAGGGGACAGGAGGCCCGGCUCCGAUGUCAACAAUGACUUCGCGGCCUGGGCCUUGGGGUCUCGGGCCUGGCGGCUGGGCUGCUCCUCACGCGACCAGUCAAAAGCUACUCCCGGGUAAGGGUUGCCCCUUCAGAAACGUGGCUGGAGUCACAGACCAUCAAAGAUCUGAAAGCCAUCAAACCCCACCAGCCCCUCCAUCCCCAUUUGACAAAAUACACCUGCUGAGCCUGAGAGAAUCAGGUCAGUUCAACACGCAUUUUCUGAGCCUUUCCAGAAACAGGGCCCCAACUGAGCGCUCCUUCUCCAACAGCAACAGGGAAGCACGGCCCCUGCCUAGAGCCCGCUGCUUGCUCUAAGCGCAGGCAGGCCCGGGUGAGCGCCCCCAGCUGGUGGGACUCUCUCCAGGCCACUUGGUCCUUUCAAAGACCAUCCAGGGCUCCGGCUCACACUUGGGCAAAGCAAAAUCCUGGCAAAGUGAAGGCCGGGGGGUGCCACGCCCCAAGGCCCCAGCUAACAUCCGGUUGGGGGGAAAUCAGGCAGACUGUACCCAGCAGGCCCGGGGGCCAGGCUGCCCCCCUCAGGCCCACCAGCCCGGCAGGAAUAGGAAUGCACCGGCUGUGUUGGGGCUCCGAUACCUCUCUUGUCUCACAGUCUUGGACAAGAUGCCCUUGAACUGGGGUUAGCAAUUGCUUUUUCGUUUAGUGUCACUUUCCUGCCGUCAGUGGAUUCUAACCACAUAUGCACACGUGGACGAGGACAGCGACACGGGGAGAGAGGAAGCAGGCAAAAGCAGCUCAUCGUUGGGCUAGAUGCGGGUCAGGGCGGUGCCUAUGUGCCUGCAAGCGCUGGCCGCCGAGGCCCCCAGCCUGCCCUGGGCCCCUGCAGGCCUUCUCUCCCCGUUUGCCCCACUGCUUCGGCUUGGAAAAUGUGUGUGCCUUUGGCGGGGUGGGGCAGUGGGGCAGGCACCCCGCAGAAACCGGCUUGGAGCAGCCCAAGGCCUCUCGCGAGAAGGGAGAGGACCAUCAAUUUCGUCUGAGAGAUUUUAGGGGCCCCUCUCUGGCCAAGGGACACUGCGGCCAGGGAUCCAGUUUCUAAUCCCACAGCUCAGGGAGGACAGAAUUUCUCACCACAGAGGAGGGUUCAAGCAAAGACUACACCCCCGUGUGCCAGGCACGCCAGGGCUGGGAGGCCAAAGGCGAGGGGCUGCGGGCCGCCCUCCCUGGGGUGCAGAGGCUGGCUUUCCAUGGAGGUCUGGCCUGGGGCUCCCUGCGGGCACGGUGGCUCUACCGGAUCCAGUCAGAGGGGGUGGCAGGCCCCCAGGCGAGGUGGCCCAGGCCUCCCUUCUCUCCCUUCUGUGCUAAGAACCAGAACAGCCUCCAAAGGGCUCCCCAAGCCCGGCGCGGCCUUGCAGGACACCACAGCCUUGCAGUUGUCAGACUGGUCUGCAGCCUGUGCCCCACCGAUGACAAGAAAGGCAAAUCCAUGGCCCCGUGGGCGGCUCUGCUAAACCACGGGGCAGCCGCCCUUGCUGCCCUACUGACCCCCGUGUCCCACCUCUCCAGCUGGGGCUCCCAUUGUUCUCGUCCCCUGGGGAUACUCUCUGCCAGGUGGAACGUCACUUUGUCGCUUGCUUUGUCACUUUCGUUGCAGUUACAGUGCGUCCUGGCCUCAGUGCUCUCUUCACAAGGAAUUUAUAUCAUUAGGGGCCACAAGAAAAAUUUCUUCUUUCAUCCUCUCUGGCCAAGACGCACUGUCUUUUCAGGGCCGCGCCCGCGGCAUAUGGAGGUUCCCAGGCUAGGGGGUCAAAUCGGAGCUACAGCCGCCGGCUUCCAGUACGCCUCGGUGGCCGGCCUGAACCAGGCAAGAGACGCCUUCCUUCUCUGACUUCCUCCUCCUUGACUUGGACUUCAGGUAUGGCUCAGGGGGCUGCAUAAUGCUCCCCACCCCCAGCCCAAUGUCCCCAGCCUAUAUAGUGAAGGGAAUGGGCAGACGUGAUUGAGUAAAGGAUGGGAAAAGAUGGAGCGUGAUCCCGGAUGUUGGCCGGGCCGGGUGUAACAUCACAAGCGUCCUGAGACGAUGAAAGGGGCAGGCGGACGUGUCCGAGGAGGAGACGUGAUGGAGGAAGCAGAAGGCAGCAGGUGCCUUGCUGGCCCUGAAGGUGGAGGAGGGGGCCACAGCCCAUGAAGGCAGUGGCUUCUAGAAGCUGGAAAUGGCCUGGAAACUACACUCGCCUCGGGCUUUUAGCAGGAGCACAAGCCCACCCCCACCUUGACCUUUGCGCAGGGCAGCUCUGGGCGGACGUCUGACCUCUGAAGCUCUAAGGUUUAAAUGUACGCUGGCAAGGAGCUACAGCAGCAACAGGAAACAGACACAGUGGCUAAUGGUGUUUAAACCGAGCCAACCCACGGCCACCAGCCGUCACUGGUUGAAGCACUGGGCUAUAGGGACAGGGUGGGCAGGCAACCCUGAGCUCAGAUCCCAACCUGUCCACCUCCUGGGAAUGGGGCCUCGCGUGAAGUCACUUCACUCCUCUGAGGCUCAGUUUCCUCAUCUGUAAAAUGGCAAAAUAAAAUCACGAGUUUCAGGUAUCUGGUGUAGUUAAUAGUAUUGUACCAACUUUGAUCAUAUGCCUUUGAUAACUGUACUAAGGCUACAUAAGAUGCCAAGACUAGGGCAGCGGGGCAGAGGGCGUAGGGACUAUACCACUGGGUAGUCUCCGGACUCCUUCUGCAACUUCUCUAAAAUCAUGUCCAAUUUGAAUGUAACUACUUAUUUGAAUUAAAAUCAUUAUUAUUUUUUGUCUUUUUUUGUCUUUUCAGGGCCGCGCCCGCGGCAUAUGGAGGUUCCCAGGCUAGGGGGCCCCACCUGAGCUGGCCCUGCCCUGUCACCGCCCCAAGCCUCGAGUCCAGGCCCACUCCCCUUGCUGUUCUCCACCCUCCCAGACACACUGGACCCUCCCCAGCCUCCCCAAACACAGUCACACGGGGCAGGCGCCCUCCAGCGUCGCCCUCCUCGGGCCGAGUGAACCGGCCCUGCUCGGGGACCGUCCCGCCCCAGCACGCAGCACGCCAGACUACAAUUAUUUCAAGGCCUGCCUCCCCAGAGCUGGUGGGCUCCUCCAGGACAGAGGCCAAGCCUCCGGCCCCCAGCUCCGGGCAGAGCAGGGCUGGGGGGCUGGAAAUGGUGUGGAAAUGCACGGACAGCACAGAAGCCCAGAGGAGGGUUCUCUCUGGGGCCACCUUUCAUUCGUCACAUUAAUAGGCAGGGAUUCAGAUUUCUCCCGUGGCAUGACUAACGUAGGGGAUUUUCAGUGUUGAUUACUAAAACAGCCCCCGCAAUGGAUGGGUGGAUGACAUCAUGCUGGGCUCUGGGACGUCUGCUGCUCUGGGGGUGGGGGUAGGUUGGGGGAGCGACACUGUCAUUGGCUAUUUGGACUCUGGGGAGGAAAGGGUCCUUGGCAAAAGGCCAGCCUGCACGGACCCACCUGCCGGGGUCCCAGAGGCUGCAGGCCCCGCUGGCAAGGAGGGAGUACCUCCCCUGCCAUCCGCCCCAGUCCUGGGGCCUCUGGGGGCGAAAGGGUGGCCUCUGGUCCCUAGGCACCAAGUCACGGCCCUCCAGGUACCCGUGAAGCUCCCCAUCCGUCUGCUCUCAGGGCAGAGGGAAGAUGGGCUCCUUGGGGGCCUUCGGAGCAGCCCCUCAUGUGGAAGCAUCUUCUCAGACUCCUCUCCUGGCCCCUGGGCUGCCGCUGAGAUGAGGCAGAGGCAAGGUCCAUCUCUGAGAGCCUCGCCAACAGCCCCGGCUCCCUGCAAAACCAACGGCCACACGGCGGGGCCUCUGCUGGAGAAGAAGCUUGGUUGUGAUACAGGACGUGACGCUGCUCUGUCUUCUACCCCCAAGACCCCCAAGGUCUUGCAAUAGACCUAGCUGGCUUGAGCUUCUCCCGGAUAAGUUAAUCCCCGCCACCAUCCCCUGCGAGGUGACCAGACUAAACAAUCUUGGCGGGAGAGACGGGAAAGCCAGCCUGCGGCCCCGGGACUGCCAGCAGACACACAGAGGGACCAGGCAGCUUGCCCCUGGGUGAAGCCCCAGCCCUCAGGGUGGCAGGCUUGUGGUGGCCAAGGGACAGCCCUGCUGCCAGAUAAUGCUGUUCUGCCUGACUUCCAGACUCAGCUUUCUCAGCAACAGGUGACUCUGGGCGGUGCUGCUGACUUUCCUGGCCCCUCCUUCCCUGCUGCCAUAUGGAGACGCAGCCCCUGAUGAGAGCAGGUGGCCGCCCCCGAGAGGAGCUGUUGCCCAGGGCCCUCCUGGGUCUUCACUGGCUGCCAUCCAGGUACCAUAGACCUGGAAGAGCUGUUGGAGACCAGCUACUCCAAGGGUCCCAUUUCACAGAGCAGCAAACUGAGGCCAAGAGAGGAAAGGGAUUGGCCUGAGGUAUCUCUAGCCAGGAAACAACUUCCUUUCAUCUCUCUCUUUUGUAAUUUUUAAAUUUAAUUUAAUUUUUUAUUUUUUUGCUUUUUUAGGGCCAUGCCUGCGGCAUAUGGAUGUUCCCAGGCUAGGGGUGUGGCCCUAAAAAGAAAGAAAAUAAAUGAGUAAAUAAACAGAGAAAUCAUUUACCCCAUUAAAAAAAAAAUCAUUGACGUCUAGUUGAUUUACAGCGCUGUGUUGAUUUCUGCUGUGCAGCCAAGUGAUCCGGUGAUGUGCCUGAUCACAGGAUACUGAAUAUAGUUGCCCAUGCUCUCCAGGAGGAGCUUGCUGUUUAUGCAGCCUCUCGAGCGCUGAUGAUGCUUUAACCCAGUUUUCAGAGUUGUGAGCAGUUCCCUCCACCCCAUCUUGUAACACGGUUGUCAGAAGCCAGCCCCCCAAAGGCGCUCUAACGAGUGAAGCUUUUUACUUCUUUGCUAAAGGGCGAAGCAAGAGGGGCAAGGGAACCGGACCGCUCCAGUGGAUGGCAUGGGACACAGUCACCCGCACCCUUGCAGACGGUGCCUGAGAGAGAAGAGCAGUCUGGGCAGAGGUGGGAUCCCAGCCAGCCACGCCCUGGCCCUGGAGAGAGACUCGGCUGGACCCGCGGUGGCAGGAACCCGGUGUCGGUGGUCAGGGAAGCAGGGAGCAAGGAGCAAGUUGAAGGAUCGGGUCCCAGGCCAGGUCUCGGCCUCCCCGCCUGCCCCAUCUCCCACCAGAAGCCUCCGCUGUUGCUUAGCGCCCCAAACCUCUGCCCGCUGGGAACCGGUUUCCUGAGUGGCAGGUGGCUGCUCUGUCCCAGGCCCCCAUGUGACAACGCGUGGGCAGGUGACACAGGGGGGCCAGUGCGGGGAGCAGCCUGUAUGUGGAGCUGAAGAGGCCUCAGCCUAAGGGCUGGGCAAGGCUGGGGCCCAGGAGCCUGGCAGUGCUUGGUGAGGCUCUAGAAAAUCCUGAGGAU